UGUAUCACUGGUAAGGGCGUAUGGUGGAUGCCUUGGUAGACAGGACCGAUGAAGGACGUGACGGGCUGCGAUAUGCCUCGGGGAGCUGCCGAGUGGGCUUUGAUCCGAGGAUUUCCGAAUGGGGAGACCCGGCCACUGUUAUGGGUGGUCACCACAGUUUUUGUGGGGGGUACGCAGGGAAGUGAAACAUCUCAGUACCUGCAGGAAAGGAUACUCCGUGAGUAGUGGCGAGCGAAAGCGGAUCAGGCUAAACCGAGUACGUGUGAUAAUCGUCAGGUGUUGCGUAUUCGGGGUCGUGGGAUUGACUGUUCAGCCUCUGACGGGGUUGAGAAGAGUGAUAAAAUGUCGUGUUAUGUGAAUGGGAUUGAAUUCCCAGCCGUAGAGGGUGAUGGCCCCGUAGCAGGUUGCGCGAUGUCUUUUUAUGUUUAUUCCCAAGUAGCGCGGGCCUCGUGGAAUCCCGCGUGAAUCUGCCCAGACCGUUGGGUAAGCCUAAGUAUUCCUGUCUGACCGAUAGUGUACUAGUACCGUGAGGGAAAGGUGAAAAGCACCCCGGGAGGGGAGUGAAAUAGUUCCUGAAACCGUGCGCUUACAAUCCGUCGGAGCCUUCUUUGUGGGGUGACGGCGUGCCUAUCGAAAAAUGAGUCUGCGAGUCAGUGGUAUGUGGCGAGGCUAACCCGGGUGGGGGAGCCGUAGCGAAAGCGAGUUUUAAAAGGCGUUUUAGUCGCAUGUCCUGGACCCGAAGCGGGAUGAUCUAGCCCUGAGCAGGUUGAAGCGCGGGUAAGACCGUGUGGAGGACCGAACCCACCUAGGUUGAAAACUGGGGGGAUGACUUGGGGUUAGGGGUGAAAGGCCAAUCAAAUUCCGUGAUAGCUGGUUCUCUCCGAAAUGCAUUUAGGUGCAGCGUCAUGUUAUUGCUUGCAGGGGGUAGAGCUACUGGAUGCUUGCGGGCCCAUACCGGGUACUAAUAGCAGCCAAACUCCGAAUACCUGUUAGGUUUAUCAUGGCAGUGAGUCGGCGGGGGAUAAGCUCCGUCGUCAAAAGGGAAACAGCCCUGAUCGUCGUCUAAGGUCCCGAAGCGCGUGCUAAGUGGGAAAGGAUGUGGAGUCGCAUAGACAGCCAGGAGGUUGGCUCAGAAGCAGCCAUCCUUGAAAGAGUGCGUAACAGCUCACUGGUCUAGUGGUUCCGCGCCGACAAUGUAGCGGGGCUUAA
This 1209-nucleotide ribosomal RNA is filed under the name Gardnerella vaginalis. Its description in RNAcentral is "partial 23S ribosomal RNA". It matches the Rfam family "Bacterial large subunit ribosomal RNA", at positions 1 to 1185 of the family's 2925-position model. Lineage: Bacteria; Bacillati; Actinomycetota; Actinomycetes; Bifidobacteriales; Bifidobacteriaceae. The record is from RNAcentral.